UGAAGCUGGAAUCGCUAGUAAUCGCGAAUCAGAAUGUCGCGGUGAAUACGUUCCCGGGUCUUGUACACACCGCCCGUCACACCAUGGGAGUUGGAAAUGCCCGAAGCCGGUGACCGAACCUUAGGGACGGAGCCGUCGAAGGUGGAGCCAAUGACUGGGGUGAAGUCGUAACAAGGUAAC
RNAcentral lists this ribosomal RNA (180 nucleotides) under uncultured bacterium. RNAcentral describes it as "partial 16S ribosomal RNA". It matches the Rfam family "Bacterial small subunit ribosomal RNA", at positions 1321 to 1500 of the family's 1533-position model. The record is from RNAcentral.